UGCAAGUCGAACGAUGAAGCCUUUCGGGGUGGAUUAGUGGCGAACGGGUGAGUAACACGUGGGCAAUCUGCCCUUCACUCUGGGACAAGCCCUGGAAACGGGGUCUAAUACCGGAUAGCACUGCGGAUCGCAUGGUCUGUGGUUGAAAGCUCCGGCGGUGAAGGAUGAGCCCGCGGCCUAUCAGCUUGUUGGUGAGGUAGUGGCUCACCAAGGCGACGACGGGUAGCCGGCCUGAGAGGGCGACCGGCCACACUGGGACUGAGACACGGCCCAGACUCCUACGGGAGGCAGCAGUGGGGAAUAUUGCACAAUGGGCGGAAGCCUGAUGCAGCGACGCCGCGUGAGGGAUGACGGCCUUCGGGUUGUAAACCUCUUUCAGCAGGGAAGAAGCGAGAGUGACGGUACCUGCAGAAGAAGCGCCGGCUAACUACGUGCCAGCAGCCGCGGUAAUACGUAGGGCGCAAGCGUUGUCCGGAAUUAUUGGGCGUAAAGAGCUCGUAGGCGGCUUGUCACGUCGGUUGUGAAAGCCCGGGGCUUAACCCCGGGUCUGCAGUCGAUACGGGCAGGCUAGAGUGUGGUAGGGGAGAUCGGAAUUCCUGGUGUAGCGGUGAAAUGCGCAGAUAUCAGGAGGAACACCGGUGGCGAAGGCGGAUCUCUGGGCCAUUACUGACGCUGAGGAGCGAAAGCGUGGGGAGCGAACAGGAUUAGA
Molecule: ribosomal RNA, 709 nt
Filed under: Streptomyces gramineus
Lineage: Bacteria; Bacillati; Actinomycetota; Actinomycetes; Kitasatosporales; Streptomycetaceae
Also listed under: 1 other name
Description: bacterial SSU rRNA
Rfam family: Bacterial small subunit ribosomal RNA
Source: RNAcentral